Long non-coding RNA from Mauremys reevesii (Reeves's turtle), 439 nucleotides. RefSeq lists it as uncharacterized. The record is from RefSeq and is a predicted model, not a curated record. The transcript is spliced from 4 exons. Lineage: Eukaryota; Metazoa; Chordata; Testudines; Geoemydidae.
UUUUUUUUUUUUUUUUUACUGAGAAGGGGCUUUCUGCAUAGACCAAAACAGUUUAAAGGAAUCCUUAUCAUCAACGUGCCAUCAAGGAGGAGGCAGACAUUAUUUUGGAUUCACACAUUUUAAGAUUUUUUACCGUUAGUUCAACAAGCUGCAAUUGACAAUCCUAGGACAAGUAGCUGACAGAGCUCAUUGUGAAAGCUGGAAAUAUCCUCAUGCAGCUCGACUUCUCUGCCACUAUGGAGGAAACAUGGGACAAGGUUAGAUAGAGGACUGAGAAUCAAGAGCGCAACAGAAAGUCGGUGUGGCCUUGGAAAGAAGAAAACAUUUUCUUUUGUUUGUGAGCCAGGCCUGCAGAAGGGAAUGAGAAGAACCCCCCCGAACUUAGAAGUGGGAGUAAUUUUUCUUCACCAGCAGGGAUGGAGAGACUACAUUAUCAUCC